AUUUCGGAACCGCGGAAAGAAAAUCACGAUGUGUCACAGAGACGAUCUUCUGUAGGAAUUAAUAGAGAUCGAUAAAGACAGCACAUGUAACACACUAAAUAUUUCUGGAUGGUUGUGAAGAAAAGGCGACGUGGGAAAAGAUCGUCCACACUUACAACUCUGCUGGCUUGGAUCCCUACGAAUAUCUACGAUUUGGGAACAUCAUAAAUGCAGGACAAAGAAAGAACAUAGCGCACAGAGGGAAUGCAUGCAGACUGGAGGUGAUAGACCUUCUUCACAGGUAUCAGACUCGGCUUCUCAGAUUAACAAUAUUUUAGAUUCUGAUUAACCACACUGUAUCUCAGAGAUUUCUACUGAGCCACCUCCACCACCCUCAAAUCCUUUUGUAGAACCAUUCCUUCUGCCCCCUACGCCAUCUGCAAGUUGCCAGGCUGCUUCACCUGCAGUGCCUCCACCAGCAUCAGUGGCACCACAACCUCAGCACCUGCUUGUACAUCUCCGCCACAGCCAGCUGAACUAUCGAUAAUGCCAUCUGCUUUACCCUCAGUGUCAAGACAACGUCCAAAGUUUUUAUAUCGAGGCAAGUGUUAUGAAAAUACUGUGGCAAUGAAGGAAAAGGAACAUGCGCUUGAUAUAUACAUACAAGAAAGUGAAUAAUAUUACCUGAAAGUGCUAAAGGAAGUUAUAAUAUUUACUAAAAAUAUCGUACAAAUGGAAAAUUAGAGACAAGUAUUAGAUGGUCGUGUUGUGCGUGAAGCAGCAAUAGACGGUAAAAAAUAUUGUUAGUGAUUUCUUGAGGGACCAGCAUAAACAAAUAAAACGAAAAGAAAAUACUUAUCAUAAAGUAUAAUGUAACUUUUUUUGUCUGUUUGUUUGUAAUGAAACCGGUGUAACAUCACAUGGGUGUAUGUAAUGAUUUUUUUUCUUUUCAACACUAUAUUUUCACCGAUGUAUAUGCUGGUAUCUGUAUAUAUCAGUAUACAUACAUAAUUAAUAUAUAUC
Penaeus monodon (black tiger shrimp) is the source of this 1002-nucleotide long non-coding RNA. RefSeq lists it as uncharacterized. NCBI's taxonomy places the organism in Eukaryota, Metazoa, Arthropoda, Malacostraca, Decapoda, Penaeidae. The transcript is spliced from 3 exons. The record is from RefSeq and is a predicted model, not a curated record.